CUGCAGUAUGAAAGGAGAGAGAGAAAGCAAGCACUCCAUUCAAUAAGGAUAGAAGAGGUUCCAGUAGCCUGUAAACUCACAUAUGGCCUCUAACAAGUUGGGGAGGGACCAUAGCUUAGU
Molecule: small nuclear RNA, 120 nt
Organism: Elgaria multicarinata webbii
Lineage: Eukaryota; Metazoa; Chordata; Lepidosauria; Squamata; Anguidae
Source: RefSeq, a predicted model, not a curated record